This 497-nucleotide ribosomal RNA is filed under the name uncultured bacterium. Its description in RNAcentral is "partial 16S ribosomal RNA". It matches the Rfam family "Bacterial small subunit ribosomal RNA", at positions 28 to 507 of the family's 1533-position model. The record is from RNAcentral.
GACGAACGCUGGCGGCGUGCUUAACACAUGCAAGUCGAGCGCAGAAGGCCGGUACUUGUGCCAACUGGAUGUGCAGAGCACGGGAGAGUAACGCGUGGGGCAUCUGCUUUUGUGUGGGGGACAAUCUUUGGAAUCGAACGCUAACACGGUAUAAACUCCUUCUACAUAAGUUUUAAGUUAGAAAGUCGCCAUUGCAUCACUGACUGAUGAUUUCGCGUUGUGUUAGCUAGUUGGUGAGGUAAAGGCUCACCCAGGCGAUGAUACAUAGCCCACCUGAGAGGGUGAGCGGCCACAUUGGGACUGAGACACGGCCCAAACGCCUACGGGAGGCAGCAGUAGGGAAUCUUGGGCAAUGGACGAAGGACUGACCGAGCAACGCCGCGUGAGUGAAGAAGGUUUUCGGAUCGUAGAACUCUGUUGGUAGGGAAGAACAUUGGUUAGAGUGGAAAGCUCAUCAAGUGACGGUAACUGCCCAAAAAGGGACGGCUAACUACGUG